GAUGUCGGGAGGGUUUUUUAGGAACUAAUUAAAAAACAAAUUACAUAGCUCGUCAGGAAACUUCAAGAUAAAUUUAUUAAGCAUAAUUAAUCUGUCAUUAGCAUAUGUGGGUUACUGUAGCACUUAAGGCUAAUCAUAGAGUAACUAGGCUUAAAAGAUUCGUCUCGCGAUUCUCAACUAAACUGUGUAAUUAGUUUAUUUUUUUAUCUAAAUUUAAUGUUACAUGCAUGUGUCCAAAGAUUCGAUGGGAUGGAUGAAAAAAUUUUGGGUAGGAAAUUAAACAGGGCCUGAGUUGUGACAUCUUUGCUCUUUUUUUAAGGGCAUCUUUGCGUAUUAUUAUACAGUACAGUUGCCGCGUGGGUGCCAUGUCGAUCGCUUGCGCAUCCAAUUUAAUUUUUUUUUAAACGUAUAUCUUGGUCUGAUUCGACCUUUUUGAGUCAGCUUAUUGAUAGGGCACCAAAGAUGAAUGCCAAUGGAUUAGCUUCGCUGUCCGAUCAAGCGAGCCGGGUAAUCACGCACUUGUUCAGGUGCAUACUACCAGCAGUGCCGAAAAGGAAAAGGUCCUUGGAUCAGCAAACAAUUACUACUUCUGUAGCUGCGUAUACGGAACUUGGACAGUUGACAACAUUUUUUCAAGUCAGAUGAUCGGUUGGCACCUUAAUUAGGUUAAUAUAGGUUGGCACGCAGGCAUUCCAUCUCCUUCCGUGAGAAAACUUUGCAGGCGGCAGCGUACAAGGCCAUUAACAGAUGUAUACUCCAGGCAAGUGCCUUAUCUAUUUUUUUCACCGACCACCAACACAAUGUCAGAGGAUCUACGAAAAAUCGAUACACAUCUUUCACUUAAUUAUUUUUUUUAUAAAUGCUUAAUUAUUUUUUGUUUUUUUACCAGAGAUGUUGAAUUAAAGCUUGACCGGGCCGAGUGGUCAAGGCGCAGUUGUUUAUUAAGGCCUUGUUUAGUUCCAUCCAAAAUCCAAAAACUUUUCAAGAUUUCUCGUCACAUCGAACGUUGUGACACAUGCAUAGAGCAUUAAAUAUUGAUAAAAAAUAACUAAUUGGACAGCUGGCCUGUAAAUCGCGAGACAAAUCUUUUAAGCCUAUUUAGUUUAUGGU
RNAcentral lists this long non-coding RNA (1110 nucleotides) under Sorghum bicolor (sorghum). Its description in RNAcentral is "long non-coding RNA (SBIC_LNC005604)". The record is from RNAcentral. Lineage: Eukaryota; Viridiplantae; Streptophyta; Magnoliopsida; Poales; Poaceae.